RNAcentral lists this non-coding RNA (29 nucleotides) under Mus musculus (house mouse). Lineage: Eukaryota; Metazoa; Chordata; Mammalia; Rodentia; Muridae. The record is from RNAcentral.
UUUCUGCCUUUAGUGAAGCCUCCCUUCAU